Molecule: long non-coding RNA, 2064 nt
Filed under: Gallus gallus (chicken)
Lineage: Eukaryota; Metazoa; Chordata; Aves; Galliformes; Phasianidae
Description: lncRNA (ENSGALG00010015851.1)
Source: RNAcentral
AUCUCUUUCUAGAGAUCCCUCAUUUGUGGAGCUUUUCAUCUUAAGCCUAAAUCUUCAGCUAUGGAUUAUCUUAUUAAACUUGACCUAGACAGAAUGGGGAGUUGGGCAGGGAAGAGCCUGAUGAAGUUCAACAAGAGCAAGCGUAGAGUGGUCCUGCACAUGGGGAAGAAUAUCUGCAUGCGUCAGUGCAGGUAUGAGAGUAGCAGGAGUAUGAGCCAAGAGGUCACUCCUCGGAGAACUUGCCCUAAAGCCAGCUGAAGAACAAAUAAGCGGAUGAAGGAGUAACUUUGCAUAACUGAUCUGUAGCUCACUUUGACAUGGCUUUUUUUUAAGGGUGCUUAUGGCAAUGUCACACAGUUGUCUGCAAAGAUAUUGAAGGAAUUAAGCACCUAUUUAACUCAUCUCACACCAAUUUCUCUUAAACAUAGAGGAGUAACUUUGGAGGAAAAAAAAAAUGCUUCUUUGUCUUGUAUUACUUGAGAUUUUUCAUCUUCUCUCACAAAUGUGACAGGAAAUAAAAUAGGGCUCAGGAGAUACUUAAGUACUACAGAACAGUAAUACAUGUAUGCUUUAAUGCGUAUUACAUAUAUAAAUAAAAUACAUAAAUUGUUUGAUUUUUCACCUCAUUCCUAUGAGCAAAUUGAAUAUCACUGUUACUUUACAAGUUGCACAAGUUGUGCCUAACUUUUUAAUGAAGGAGGACUCAGGAAGCUUCAGAUUGAUCACUCCCAUCUUGACUUCUGAGGAGCUGAUGGAGUAACUAGUCCUGGAAACCAUUCACAGGCACAUGAAAUACAAGAAAGUCAUCUGAAGUAGUCAUCACAGAUUCACAAAAGGGAAGUCAUGCUUGACUAACAUAAUAAUUUUAUAAUGAAAUGAUUUCCUUGGUAAAUAACGGUGGAUAUUGUCUGUGUUGACUUUAGUAAGAAUUUUGACAAUGUCUCCUACUGUAUCCUCAUAGAAAAGCUGGAUUAAAAGGCAUUGAAGCCAUCUGAAAACUCUCUAGUUGCACAGUGAACCCUAAUGGUCAAUAGUAAGUCUAACACUGUACAGUAACUUUACGGAUGGUCUUAUAUUGUUCAUGGUCUUAUAUUUUUCAUUGAACUUGUAAGUAUCCAAUGAGCAAUGCAAGUGUUGUUCAUUACUUGCAUGUUUUAUUAUUUUUUUUAAUGUGUAUAAAAAAGAAAAACAACACAGAGGAAGAGAUAACUUUGGUGCCCAGUAUAUAUAAGUGGAUGAUGUCUUCUUGUUUUUCAAUUGGCCUGGUACCCAAGUUAUCUUCUCCUCCAUACCCAUUCUUACUCAAAGUUUAUAGAAGUCUGAAGUGCCAAUAUUUCAGUCACUCACACAGAUGAAACUGACUGUUCCUAUCUGGCAACAUCAUUCAGAAAUCCUAGCAAUGAACUCUGUUUUUUCAAGCACAAUUUUUUUUUAGCCUCUUCUGUUUGAGAACAUUCCCAACAAACAUUUACUCUGUGUGUAGAAUGUAACAUUUUGAAAGCAACAUUUCUUCUUAAUAUGAAGUAGUUUUUCUAAAGACUUCAUAGUCAAGUACAUAAAGAAAGCAAUAAAAGGUUUGUCAACAAAGCGAAUACUGAAGUAGAAAUUGAAAUAUUAUCCUUCUCCAAAAAUUGGUCGGUUGUCUUCCAUCAUUUUAUCUUUCAGAACCUGAUACUUUUUGAAAUCAGUUACAGCACUAUCAAGAUAGGCCCAAGGCUUAAGACUCUUUGAAAACACCAAAGGGAAUCAGAACAACUGUGGAGUACUAUAUGCUGGGGUGAGGGACUAGUGUCUGCACAAGGAAAAAUCACGUAUCUUAAGAGAAUACAAAAUAAUAUUCAUUAGGGAAUGAAUGUGUAAUAUAUAUCUCUGCUAGUAAUAGCAGAUUUCCACUUCCUCCAGGAUUGUUUGCGUUAUUGCUAUACUAAGAGAAUAUUCUGUGUAACAUCAGCAUGUUUGUUGCUGCAACAAGGUAUAUUGAAUUAAAGAGAAAAAAAAAUUGUCAAAGAUGCUUUGUGAAUGGUCUAAAGCAGGAUGAAGUAUAAUGUGAAGCUCUUCCAUGGC